CUUGCUACUGAUCUUAGCGGCGGACGGGUGAGUAAUGCUUAGGAAUCUGCCUAUUAGUGGGGGACAACAUUUCGAAAGGAAUGCUAAUACCGCAUACGUCCUACGGGAGAAAGCAGGGGAUCUUCGGACCUUGCGCUAAUAGAUGAGCCUAAGUCGGAUUAGCUAGUUGGUGGGGUAAAGGCCUACCAAGGCGACGAUCUGUAGCGGGUCUGAGAGGAUGAUCCGCCACACUGGGACUGAGACACGGCCCAGACUCCUACGGGAGGCAGCAGUGGGGAAUAUUGGACAAUGGGCGCAAGCCUGAUCCAGCCAUGCCGCGUGUGUGAAGAAGGCCUUAUGGUUGUAAAGCACUUUAAGCGAGGAGGAGGCUACUUUAGUUAAUACCUAGAGAUAGUGGACGUUACUCGCAGAAUAAGCACCGGCUAACUCUGUGCCAGCAGCCGCGGUAAUACAGAGGGUGCAAGCGUUAAUCGGAUUUACUGGGCGUAAAGCGCGCGUAGGCGGCUAAUUAAGUCAAAUGUGAAAUCCCCGAGCUUAACUUGGGAAUUGCAUUCGAUACUGGUUAGCUAGAGUGUGGGAGAGGAUGGUAGAAUUCCAGGUGUAGCGGUGAAAUGCGUAGAGAUCUGGAGGAAUACCGAUGGCGAAGGCAGCCAUCUGGCCUAACACUGACGCUGAGGUGCGAAAGCAUGGGGAGCAAACAGGAUUAGAUACCCUGGUAGUCCAUGCCGUAAACGAUGUCUACUAGCCGUUGGGGCCUUUGAGGCUUUAGUGGCGCAGCUAACGCGAUAAGUAGACCGCCUGGGGAGUACGGUCGCAAGACUAAAACUCAAAUGAAUUGACGGGGGCCCGCACAAGCGGUGGAGCAUGUGGUUUAAUUCGAUGCAACGCGAAGAACCUUACCUGGCCUUGACAUAGUAAGAACUUUCCAGAGAUGGAUUGGUGCCUUCGGGAACUUACAUACAGGUGCUGCAUGGCUGUCGUCAGCUCGUGUCGUGAGAUGUUGGGUUAAGUCCCGCAACGAGCGCAACCCUUUUCCUUAUUUGCCAGCGAGUAAUGUCGGGAACUUUAAGGAUACUGCCAGUGACAAACUGGAGGAAGGCGGGGACGACGUCAAGUCAUCAUGGCCCUUACGGCCAGGGCUACACACGUGCUACAAUGGUCGGUACAAAGGGUUGCUACCUAGCGAUAGGAUGCUAAUCUCAAAAAGCCGAUCGUAGUCCGGAUUGGAGUCUGCAACUCGACUCCAUGAAGUC
RNAcentral lists this ribosomal RNA (1253 nucleotides) under Acinetobacter sp. RNAcentral's name for it is "bacterial SSU rRNA". It matches the Rfam family "Bacterial small subunit ribosomal RNA", at positions 79 to 1327 of the family's 1533-position model. Lineage: Bacteria; Pseudomonadati; Pseudomonadota; Gammaproteobacteria; Moraxellales; Moraxellaceae. The record is from RNAcentral.